RNAcentral lists this ribosomal RNA (435 nucleotides) under uncultured bacterium. Its description in RNAcentral is "partial 16S ribosomal RNA". It matches the Rfam family "Bacterial small subunit ribosomal RNA", at positions 29 to 507 of the family's 1533-position model. The record is from RNAcentral.
AGCGAACGCUGGCGGCAGGCUUAACACAUGCAAGUCGAGCGGGCACUUUCGGGUGUCAGCGGCGGACGGGUGAGUAACGCGUGGGAACUUGCCCUCUGGUUCGGAAUAACUCAGGGAAACUUGAGCUAAUACCGGAUACGCCCUUUUGGGGAAAUGCUUGCUGCCGGAGGAUCGGCCCGCGUCUGAUUAGCUAGUUGGUGAGGUAACGGCUCACCAAGGCGACGAUCAGUAGCUGGGCUGAGAGGAUGAUCAGCCACACUGGGACUGAGACACGGCCCAGACUCCUACGGGAGGCAGCAGUGGGGAAUAUUGGACAAUGGGCGCAAGCCUGAUCCAGCCAUGCCGCGUGAGUGAUGAAGGCCUUAGGGUUGUAAAGCUCUUUUAUCCGGGACGAUAAUGACGGUACCGGAGGAAUAAGCCCCGGCUAACUUCGUG